CUACUGAGUCGUGCAAGUACAGUCUUCCCAAAAUGUCUCUUGUUGUUGCAUCAUCGAACUCAAAUCUUGUGAAAAGGCUCCUAAGUUUCUCUUCUUCCUCCUCAGUCCAAGGAACCGCCUCAAGGUACUUUAAACAACACCGAACGCCCUUAGUGAACAUAAUUCCUGCCGAAACCUAGUAAUAUAUAUCAGGUCAACCUCAGCCAAAGAUUAAGUGCUAGUUUCAAUGCACGUUAAAUCAUCCCAAAUAAUAUUUAAGUAUCAACUAUUCUAAUUUAAUACAAGCAUUCAUAUAUUUGAUUCCAUACAAUGAAACUGAUUCUAGACUUCAAAUUCAUUUUUGUAAUUAAAAGAAUAUUAGAUACCUUUUGCUCUAAAAUGUAUAUAUACUAAGUUUUAUGGUUAACAUGCAUUUAGACUAAAAAUUCCAAACAUUUACUAAUUCCCUUCAAUACUAAGAGCUGUCCAUGUCCAUGCUCAGCUCUAAAUGGGAGUUGUUUUAACAUGGAAAACUUUAUAGUAAGUUUUUCGAGAAACAGGGCGAUUCUUUAAUUCUACUCCAACUUGAUAAGAUUCCGAUGUUGGUAAAAUUUCUUCUCCAAAUCAAUUAUAUAUUCAAAUCUUGAAUUCGAGAACAAUGACAAAACUAAAACAACCCCUCUAUCCACUCUUUGCAGGUUUUGUUAUACAUACGUUGGUUGAUAAUUCCAAAUAUUUUUCCUGUUAUAAAAGAUUUCUACUUAACUUCAUGCCAAUCUAUGAAUCCAACGGCCGCGACAAAAUGAGUAAUUUUGUCAAACGAAAAACUUGCGUAUGUAAGUAAAAUGAAGAGAGAUCAAAAGGUGAAGAAAUAGGCAC
Molecule: long non-coding RNA, 858 nt
Filed under: Vigna radiata
Lineage: Eukaryota; Viridiplantae; Streptophyta; Magnoliopsida; Fabales; Fabaceae
Description: long non-coding RNA (VRAD_LNC000724)
Source: RNAcentral